AGUGAACGCUGGCGGUAGACCUAACACAUGCAAGUCGAACGGCAGCACAGUAAGAGCUUGCUCUUACGGGUGGCGAGUGACGGACGGGUGAGGAAUACAUCGGAAUCUACUUUUUCGUGGGUGAUAACGUAGGGAAACUUACGCUAAUACCGCAUACGACCUACGGGUGAAAGCAGGGGAUCUUCGGACCUUUCGCGAUUGAAUGAGCCGAUGUCGGAUUAGCUAGUUGGCGGGGUAAAGGCCCACCAAGGCGACGAUCCGUAGCUGGUCUGAGAGGAUGAUCAGCCACACUGGAACUGAGACACGGACCAGACUCCUACGGGAGGCAGCAGUGGGGAAUAUUGGACAAUGGGCGCAAGCCUGAUCCAGCAAUACCGCGUGGGUGAAGAAGGACUUCGGGUUGUAAAGCCCUUUUGUUGGGAAAGAAAAGCAGCAGGUUAAUACCCAGCUGUUCUGACGGUACCCAAAGAAUAAGCACCGGCUAACUUCGUG
This 492-nucleotide ribosomal RNA is filed under the name uncultured bacterium. RNAcentral describes it as "partial 16S ribosomal RNA". It matches the Rfam family "Bacterial small subunit ribosomal RNA", at positions 29 to 507 of the family's 1533-position model. The record is from RNAcentral.